AAACAAGGGUGCUUGGGGCCGAAAAAUGAGAGUUUCAGUGGACAGAGAAGGAAAAUUUGGGUUAGCACACACGGAUUAAGAACUGUUUACUUUCCUGAGAGUGGAGAGAUCAACAUGGAAAGCCAUUACAAGAGAUUUAAGGUAAAGCCGGGGUGCGACGCAUCAAAUUGGUUACUGGAGAUUUGGAGAGAAGAGUCUGAAUCAGAAUGGAAGUGGAGCACCAAGGCUCUGAUUUAUGGGCUGUGCAGCACAUCACGGCAAGCAAAAAGGCUUUUGUAAGAACAAUCUCACCGCAAUUUAUCAGCUUCGCCACCUACCCACCGAAGACCUUCCACUAGUCAGAAGCGAAUAAGGCCAGGAGACCAGUUGGUGAUGAAAUUAAUGCUGGACGCAGCUGAAAAACUGCUCUUUGAAUUUGGAGGCCUGGGAUGUUCAUUGAAAUUGAGUGUUACGAAAGCAAUUUUACAGGCACCUCAGGGGCAUAUGCUUGUGCGGAUUUCUAUUACACUAAACCGAAUUUUAGACUUUGUAUAUUUAAAAAAAAAAUAGCAAAUGGUUGGAACAGCACCAGAAAAUACAUCGCCACAAAUUAAGAUCAUAAUCAUGUUAAAGGAGUGGAAAUAAAUACAUUUCAGAAGGAUGCAACAGUGGGUAAAUUCCCUUGGUGCUCUCUUUUGAACUUAUCCAUUUAACAUACUUUUAAAUGUGAAAAAAGAACUGCUUCAUUCCGCCCAUUUUAAUGCCUACCCUUACUUAAUACAGAUUAAGGUUUUGUUUCCCUCUUUAAACUCUUAAAGUGGCUGAGUUUUCAGUCUACAAUAGCUCUAAGCAUAUUUAGCCUCUGCUGUAAUGAGACAAAAGCAUCCAUUCAUGGUUUUAAUUCGCCUUGCGAUUAAUGAUUGCAUAUUGAAUGAUACGGUGCACAGCGUUUUAUUCUUUGCGGCAGAAAAAUGGAAUGUCUUAUUUCA
This is a long non-coding RNA of Pangasianodon hypophthalmus (striped catfish), 968 nucleotides long. RefSeq lists it as uncharacterized. NCBI's taxonomy places the organism in Eukaryota, Metazoa, Chordata, Actinopteri, Siluriformes, Pangasiidae. The transcript has 3 exons. The record is from RefSeq and is a predicted model, not a curated record.